UACGAAGGGGGCUAGCGUUGUUCGGAAUCACUGGGCGUAAAGCGCGCGUAGGCGGAUUGUCAAGUCAGAGGUGAAAGCCCAGGGCCUAACCUUGGAACUGCCUUUGAAACUGGCAAUCUGGAGACUCGGAGGGGAUAGCGGAAUUCCAAAUGUAGGGGUGAAAUCCGUAGAUAUUUGGAGGAACACCGGUGGCGAAGGCGGCUAUCUGGACGAGUACUGACGCUGAGGCGCGAAAGCGUGGGGAGCAAACAGG
RNAcentral lists this ribosomal RNA (253 nucleotides) under uncultured bacterium. RNAcentral describes it as "partial 16S ribosomal RNA". It matches the Rfam family "Bacterial small subunit ribosomal RNA", at positions 524 to 776 of the family's 1533-position model. The record is from RNAcentral.